Molecule: long non-coding RNA, 372 nt
Filed under: Androctonus crassicauda
Lineage: Eukaryota; Metazoa; Arthropoda; Arachnida; Scorpiones; Buthidae
Source: RNAcentral
UCUACGGUCUGUGAAGCUGCUGCCCCUAAGGUGGGGGGUCCCAUUCUACAAAGAGAGAGGUGGCCCCCCUUCCUUGACCUACUCCUCCUUGAGGUUCAAACACCACCUCCCUUCUUCAGGACCUGCACUUCCUAAUGUUUGAGACUCUCCUACAGACCCUCUUAACACAAGGGUUAAUGGGGGAGAUGGCCUCUAAUACCUCUCCUUUCUUUCUUCCCCUUUCUUUACCACCUUUCCCAUUCUGCUUUAGAUUUCUUGAUUGUCAAUCUCUGUCACAUCUGGUGAUUGUUUUGGUUUCUGUUCCCUUUCUAACUGCCCAAGGGGCUCAUAGACCCAAAAAUCCUUUCUUUUCACUACCUUCUUUUUGGGGGG